GGGAAUUGUUCGCGAUGGGCGCAAGCCUGACGACGCAACGCCGCGUGGAGGAUGAAGGUCUUCGGAUUGUAAACUCCUGUUGCCCGGGACGAACCGCUCCGACCUAAUACGUCGGAGCUUGACGGUACCGGGGGAGAAAGCCCAGGACAACUCUGUGCCAGCAGCCGCGGUAAUACAGAGGGGGCAAGCGUUGUUCGGAAUUACUGGGCGUAAAGGGCGCGUAGGCGGCCUGUUAAGUCGAACGUGAAAUCCCCGGGCUCAACCCGGGAACUGCGUCCGAGACUGGCAGGCUUGAAUCCGGGAGAGGGAUGUGGAAUUCCAGGUGUAGCGGUGAAAUGCGUAGAUAUCUGGAGGAACACCGGUGGCGAAGGCGGCAUCCUGGACCGGUAUUGACGCUGAGGCGCGAAAGCCAGGGGAGCAAA
Molecule: ribosomal RNA, 422 nt
Filed under: uncultured bacterium
Lineage: Bacteria
Description: bacterial SSU rRNA
Rfam family: Bacterial small subunit ribosomal RNA
Source: RNAcentral